Long non-coding RNA from Calidris pugnax (ruff), 671 nucleotides. RefSeq lists it as uncharacterized. Lineage: Eukaryota; Metazoa; Chordata; Aves; Charadriiformes; Scolopacidae. The record is from RefSeq and is a predicted model, not a curated record. The transcript is spliced from 3 exons.
GGGAGGGGGACGGGGACGAAGGGGACGGACCCCCCCCCUUACAGAUGGACAGGACAAAUGCUAGGAGGGAUCGGUGGAAAUUAAAUGAGGUAGACAAGGGAAGGGCAGCCCCCUCUGUUUGAAGAGAAUGCAAAAGGCCAUCCAGCCUUAAACCGCUGAGAUUAGGGGUAAUAUUUACUAAAGUCCAGUAGAUGCUCCUUUAACUUGGUGGCCGGGACGUGCUCCAAAGUCCCGAGUCCUGCAGUCCACAGGCUCUCCCCCGCUCCCGUCCCUCACUUCAAAGCCGGUUACCGCGCAGAAACCAUGUGAGUCACCGCGCUGAGACAUAACACUACGGGCACCCAAUAAAUGCGGACAGAGGCUUGAAUGCGGAUCCACCGAUAUUAACCUCCACUUGGCAAACAUCAGAAUUAAGUCAAAUCCUCGAAACAAACAAACCUCUGGAAUCAGCCGACGAGAACAAGGGACAAAAAUGUGUCUUGAAGGAAAUAAAAUAGAUAAAAGCACCGGAUUUAAACCCGCUUUCUCAAAUGGUCAAACUACACCCAUGGAAAUUGGAACAAAUCCCAGUGGAGAUUCUCGGAGAUAUUAAAAUUGCGGUCUUCAUGUAUGCACCCAUCCCUCUUUCACUAAUGGAAGCGGUCUAUACGUCUGAAAAUCGAGACCUUUCU